Non-coding RNA from Notechis scutatus (mainland tiger snake), 202 nucleotides. The record is from RefSeq and is a predicted model, not a curated record. Lineage: Eukaryota; Metazoa; Chordata; Lepidosauria; Squamata; Elapidae.
CUGUGUCCUCAUUGUCACCUGAGUGGUGCAAAUGGGUGUGGAGCCUUCUUGGAACCGCUGAAAGGACUGUGUUGUAGACUGGAGAUAGAUGAUGUCAUAUUUCUCCUCCUCUGUUGAGAGAAGGCCUGUUCAAUUUUGACCUAGAUGGCCUCUUAGGACCCUCUUUCAAACCAGCAGGCCUCUCUGUCCAAAAGCUGGACUU